AACGCACGAGACCUGCGGACCUGCGGAGGGAUCAUUAAUGAGAAACUGCCCCUCGCGGGUAGAUCUCCCACCCUUUGUAAACUUACCUUUGUUGCUUUGGCAGGCCCGUCUCCGGACCGCCGGCUUCGGCUGGCCAGUGCCUGCCAGAGGAUUCUAAAACUCUGUCUGUCAGUGUUGUCUGAGUCUAUGUACAAUCGUUAAAACUUUUAGCAACGGAUCUCUAGAUCGGAAGAGCACACG
This 240-nucleotide unclassified non-coding RNA is filed under the name soil metagenome. RNAcentral's name for it is "partial contains 5.8S ribosomal RNA, internal transcribed spacer 2, and large subunit ribosomal RNA". The record is from RNAcentral.